UGCUGUAGUAUUUUGACUAUACAAAGGUAUUGAAAUAAGGCUUUAAAUGAGUGCUAAGAGAAUGGUUAAACAAUUAAUAGCUUUCUUUAAUUAAUAAAUUGAAUUUAAUUUUUUUGUGAAGAAGCAAAAAUAAUAAUUAGGGACAAGAAGACCCUAUGAAUUUUGAUUAAAUUGAAUAUUUGGUAAAAUAUUCUAGGAUUUAGUUUGGUUGGGGUGAUUGAAAAAGAAUAUAUAUCUUUUUAUGUGAAGAAGUUUAAUUUGUUCCGUUAAUAAUGAUUAGAUGAUAAAAAUACUCUAGGGAUAACAGCGUAAUAAUUUUGGAUAGUUCUUAUAGAUAAAAUAGUUUGCGACCUCGAUGUUGGAUUAGGAU
Molecule: ribosomal RNA, 370 nt
Filed under: Ixodes cookei
Lineage: Eukaryota; Metazoa; Arthropoda; Arachnida; Ixodida; Ixodidae
Description: partial 16S ribosomal RNA
Source: RNAcentral